CACGUAGUUAGCCGUCCCUUUCUGGUAAGCUACCGUCACAGUGUGAACUUUCCACUCUCACACCCGUUCUUGACUUACAACAGAGCUUUACGAUCCGAAAACCUUCUUCACUCACGCGGCGUUGCUCGGUCAGGGUUGCCCCCAUUGCCGAAGAUUCCCUACUGCUGCCUCCCGUAGGAGUCUGGGCCGUGUCUCAGCCCCAGUGUGGCCGAUCACCCUCUCAGGUCGGCUAUGUAUCGUCGCCUAGGUGAGCCAUUACCUCACCUACUAGCUAAUACAACGCAGGUCCAUCUUGUAGUGGAGCAAUUGCCCCUUUCAAAUAAAUGACAUGUGUCAUCCAUUGUUAUGCGGUAUUAGCUAUCGUUUCCAAUAGUUAUCCCCCGCUACAAGGCAGGUUACCUACGCGUUACUCACCCGUUCGCAACUCAUCCAAGAAGAGCAAGCUCCUCUCUUCAGCGUUCUACUUGCAUGUAUUAGGCACGCCGCCAGCGUUCGU
RNAcentral lists this ribosomal RNA (496 nucleotides) under uncultured Streptococcus sp. Its description in RNAcentral is "partial 16S ribosomal RNA". Lineage: Bacteria; Bacillati; Bacillota; Bacilli; Lactobacillales; Streptococcaceae. The record is from RNAcentral.